This is an RNA transcript of Biomphalaria glabrata, 589 nucleotides long. RefSeq lists it as uncharacterized. Lineage: Eukaryota; Metazoa; Mollusca; Gastropoda; Planorbidae. The record is from RefSeq and is a predicted model, not a curated record. The transcript has 3 exons.
AACUAACUUGCAGCCACUACAUGAAUAGAAUUCUUAGAUAAAUCAUAAUUAGCCACAAGCUGCUUGUAGGCCAUCAGAGUUCGAAUGUCUUAAGAUACGAAAAGAUUUUGAGAAAUGUAUUUUAGUAUAAAUAAAGUCUGCAGUACAACAUCAGGAAAGUUAUCAAGACUGCACAUUGGUCAAUAUUGGAACCAUUGUAUAAAUACUACUCUCUUUCUAGUCAAGUUCACAGAUAUGUUUAUAUAUAUUUUGAACACCUUCACCGAACAAAGAUGCAGAGUACUCUAAAGGACAUCCUGUAUGGCGAUCUAAUAGAAGGCAGGAGAGCCGCUGGUCGCCCACUUUUAUGGUAUACGGAUGUAUGCAAACGCGACAUGAAGCUCUUCAAAAUCGACACUGGCAACUGGGAAGAGGUGGCACUGGACAGAUCCACAUGGAGAGAGAGCAUAAAGGAAGGGUCACAGAUUGCAGAUGUCAUACACAACAGAAGCAGAAAGAAGGGUGAAAAUGCAGCGGCGCCUAGUGAUUAUAUAUGCCCAACCUGCGAUCGCAGCUGUGUAUCAAGGAUUGGCCUCUUUAGUCACACAUG